CCUGGUGGAGAGGCAGGGGUGGGAGAGAAAGCUCUGAGAAGAGGUGACGAUGUCACAGCUCAGCAGGAAGAAUCGAUGGUCAGUGGGAGGGGGUGAUGCUCAGUGACAAGGAAUAAUAAUAGUCCCCAAAAGCUGUCUGCUGCAGACCGAAUCCCAUCACCCCCCCCCCCAAAUGUAUACACUUAAGUCCUCACCCCCAGCCUCUGAAUGUGCCUGCAUUUAGAGACAGGGCUUUUAGAGAGCUAAUUAAAGUAAAAUGAGAUCAUACGAGUGGAUGAUCCACUAAUCCAAUCUGACUGGUGUCUUUAUAAGAGGAGGAAAUUCGGACCCCAGACAUGCACACUCAUAGAGGAGAGACCAGGUGAGGACGGAGGCGUAAGACAGCCAUUUACAACCCACGGAGAGAGGCCUCAGAUGACACCAAACCCGCCGACACCUUGACCUUGGACUCCCAGCCUCCAGAACUGGGGGAACAUACGUUUCUGGUGCGUCUAAGCCACCAGUCUGUGGUAGGGCCGGAGCAGCCCUAGGAAAUGGAUCAACUGAGCCAAACUCUAGCGAGUUUUCUGCCCACAGUGAUCAUGAACACCCACACCUCUGCAGCAACAGGGACCAGCCCCAGGCUUCAGGAGGCAGAACGUGGCUUCUCGAAUGCUCUAAUGGAGAAGACAGCCCUGUACACCGAGAAAAGUACCUGGCCACCAGUUAGCACUUCACAAAAAUCUGCUGAGCGAUUAAUGAAAUUUAAUCGGAAAGAGCGGUUUCCAUCUCCCCUGCCCAAAUCUCUUAGUAAAAACCAGGCUCUGUAGCCCGUGGCCUGGUAACCCCCUUCAUUCGUUCGCUCAACUCGCGUGCGCUAAUGCUGUGGGUGUCAAGCUCUGUGCACUCCAGAGUACCCAACACCCUCAGUGAGGGGAGCAGGGGGCUGGCGGAGGAGCCCGGAGCGUCAGGACACCUGUAUGAGUGCUUCCUGGGGCCUCGUGAAAACCAAACGAGAUCCCUGACGUGAAGCCGCUCCGCAUCACCGUAAGGCGCUAUGCGCACGGUGAUACCCUGCAGCCGGUCUGAGCCUGUCUUGUUCACUGCCGCAUUCCUAGUGCCCAGACUACGGCAGGCCCUCAAAUACUUGUCGAACCGAACACACCACAGGGUCACACUUCGCGACGCUAGAUGCAGCGCAGAGACGAUAAGCUGGUGGAGUUUUGCAACGCGAGCGCCUUAAAACCCCAAGUCCCUCUAGCCCCGGUGACUGGCAGCAGGUUUUACUUUGUGGCUUCCGGAUCCCACACCACCACGUCGGCAUCGGCCCCAGGGAUGAUGCGGCCCUUGCGGGGAUACAGGUUGAGAAUCUUCGCCGCGUUGGAACUGGUAACGGCCACAAAACGGUUCUCGUCCAUCUUUCCUCCAACCUGAAACAUCGCAACAGUGCCACGUCACCCAAACCCUGCGCGUGCCUCAAAGCCACGGCCACCCUUGACUCGGGCCUGCGGUCUUUUAGUUGGUCACGACAACGGUGCCGAGAAGGACGAUGAUGUGAGCACCGUCUCAGCUGAGCCAAUCUGCUGGCCGGGUUCCCGGCCAUCGCCUCAAUCCUUCCUCCGGCAACAGUGGUGUUAACACAGCAGCAUGCUGAGUGGGAAUUUGUUGGCGACAAAUUGGCGACAAAUUUGUUGGCGACCAGGAGGGAACAUUAAGGACCUGGAUGAAAUAAGUGCCCCUUUUUCUCAAGACAGCCAUCUUCAGUCGGGGCUGGCUACUUUCCUCAAUCAUCCUCACCAUCACCCUCGAAGAGAAGAGGGCUGUCACCUCCCCCCAGGACCCCACUGGCACCCUGAGCCGGGCCAAGACUAUAAGCAAGUAUAAAAACCUUCAGGUGCCGCCCAGUGCUCAGCAGCAGCCGACACACAGGUUCUGUGAAUCCACAGGAAAGAAGCUGAGAAGAGGCAUAGUCAGUUUUCCUCACCUCCUCUGGGCGGCUGAUCUCGAUUCCUUCUGGGCCCGUGAUUCCCAAAUCUAGCGCCUCCUUAGCACCCUGAAUGACAGCAAAAGAAAGAAAAUUGAGAGAACCAUACAGACACGAGAAAAUAACGAACCCCAGGGACACGAAACCAUGCCGGACACCGUGCAUUCCAAUAGGCCUGCCGCUUUGCUCCCUUCUGCAGUAUCCGCCUUCCAAAGAGGGCAGAGUAAGCGUGGGGUUCCCUGGCAGCCAGGCUCUCCUGCACCUCGCUUCCUAAGGACUGAACGUAUUUUCUUCCUCUUAAAAUUCCAGUUCUGUAACUGGCCAAUAGGCUUGGGACAUCAAAGACCACCGGUCUGAAAAAUCAGAAUUUCCCCACCGGAAAUCUAGUCAAAUCUCUAGUUCCCAGCAGCACCUAGAAUAACCCUUACCAAGCAUCCUAUUUAAGAUCCAGGAGGUACAAAGGGACUCAUCUACCAGUGAGCAGAUUGCUAUAAUAUCUCAGUUCCUCGGGGGUGGCGGGGGAGAGGUGAUAGGAAAGCGGAGGAAAGAGGAGAGCUGACUGUCAUUUAUUCUGAUGUCAAAUCUCAUUAAAAAUAUUUCUUAGGGGUGCUCCAAGUUCUUUUGCUAUCAUGGAAUUUAAAUACCAUAUCACCAGAACUAAG
This is a long non-coding RNA of Felis catus (domestic cat), 2625 nucleotides long. RefSeq lists it as uncharacterized. The record is from RefSeq and is a predicted model, not a curated record. The transcript has 5 exons. NCBI's taxonomy places the organism in Eukaryota, Metazoa, Chordata, Mammalia, Carnivora, Felidae.